RNAcentral lists this ribosomal RNA (301 nucleotides) under uncultured bacterium. Its description in RNAcentral is "partial 16S ribosomal RNA". It matches the Rfam family "Bacterial small subunit ribosomal RNA", at positions 509 to 807 of the family's 1533-position model. The record is from RNAcentral.
CAGUAGCCACGGGAAUACGAAGGGGGCUAGCGUUGUUCGGAAUUACUGGGCGUAAAGCGCACGUAGGCGGACAUUUAAGUCAGGGGUGAAAUCCCGGGGCUCAACCCCGGAACUGCCUUUGAUACUGGGUGUCUAGAGUAUGGAAGAGGUGAGUGGAAUUCCGAGUGUAGAGGUGAAAUUCGUAGAUAUUCGGAGGAACACCAGUGGCGAAGGCGGCUCACUGGUCCAUUACUGACGCUGAGGUGCGAAAGCGUGGGGAGCAAACAGGAUUAGAUACCCGCGUAGUCCCUGUCUCUUAUAC